GGUUAAUGAGGCGAACCGGGGGAACUGAAACAUCUAAGUACCCCGAGGAAAAGAAAUCAACCGAGAUUCCCCCAGUAGCGGCGAGCGAACGGGGAGCAGCCCAGAGCCUGAAUCAGUAUGUGUGUUAGUGGAAGCGUCUGGAAAGGCGCGCGAUACAGGGUGACAGCCCCGUACACAAAAAUGCACAUGCUGUGAGCUCGAUGAGUAGGGCGGGACACGUGGUAUCCUGUCUGAAUAUGGGGGGACCAUCCUCCAAGGCUAAAUACUCCUGACUGACCGAUAGUGAACCAGUACCGUGAGGGAAAGGCGAAAAGAACCCCGGCGAGGGGAGUGAAAAAGAACCUGAAACCGUGUACGUACAAGCAGUGGGAGCACGCUUAGGCGUGUGACUGCGUACCUUUUGUAUAAUGGGUCAGCGACUUAUAUUCUGUAGCAAGGUUAACCGAAUAGGGGAGCCGAAGGGAAACCGAGUCUUAACUGGGCGUUAAGUUGCAGGGUAUAGACCCGAAACCCGGUGAUCUAGCCAUGGGCAGGUUGAAGGUUGGGUAACACUAACUGGAGGACCGAACCGACUAAUGUUGAAAAAUUAGCGGAUGACUUGUGGCUGGGGGUGAAAGGCCAAUCAAACCGGGAGAUAGCUGGUUCUCCCCGAAAGCUAUUUAGGUAGCGCCUCGUGAAUUCAUCUCCGGGGGUAGAGCACUGUUUCGGCAAGGGGGUCAUCCCGACUUACCAACCCGAUGCAAACUGCGAAUACCGGAGAAUGUUAUCACGGGAGACACACGGCGGGUGCUAACGUCCGUCGUGAAGAGGGAAACAACCCAGACCGCCAGCUAAGGUCCCAAAGUCAUGGUUAAGUGGGAAACGAUGUGGGAAGGCCCAGACAGCCAGGAUGUUGGCUUAGAAGCAGCCAUCAUUUAAAGAAAGCGUAAUAGCUCACUGGUCGAGUCGGCCUGCGCGGAAGAUGUAACGGGGCUAAACCAUGCACCGAAGCUGCGGCAGCGACGCUGAUGCGUUGUUGGGUAGGGGAGCGUUCUGUAAGCCUGCGAAGGUGUGCUGUGAGGCAUGCUGGAGGUAUCAGAAGUGCGAAUGCUGACAUAAGUAACGAUAAAGCGGGUGAAAAGCCCGCUCGCCGGAAGACCAAGGGUUCCUGUCCAACGUUAAUCGGGGCAGGGUGAGUCGACCCCUAAGGCGAGGCCGAAAGGCGUAGUCGAUGGGAAACAGGUUAAUAUUCCUGUACUUGGUGUUACUGCGAAGGGGGGACGGAGAAGGCUAUGUUGGCCGGGCGACGGUUGUCCCGGUUUAAGCGUGUAGGCUGGUUUUCCAGGCAAAUCCGGAAAAUCAAGGCUGAGGCGUGAUGACGAGGCACUACGGUGCUGAAGCAACAAAUGCCCUGCUUCCAGGAAAAGCCUCUAAGCAUCAGGUAACAUCAAAUCGUACCCCAAACCGACACAGGUGGUCAGGUAGAGAAUACCAAGGCGCUUGAGAGAACUCGGGUGAAGGAACUAGGCAAAAUGGUGCCGUAACUUCGGGAGAAGGCACGCUGAUAUGUAGGUGAAGUCCCUCGCGGAUGGAGCUGAAAUCAGUCGAAGAUACCAGCUGGCUGCAACUGUUUAUUAAAAACACAGCACUGUGCAAACACGAAAGUGGACGUAUACGGUGUGACGCCUGCCCGGUGCCGGAAGGUUAAUUGAUGGGGUUAGCGCAAGCGAAGCUCUUGAUCGAAGCCCCGGUAAACGGCGGCCGUAACUAUAACGGUCCUAAGGUAGCGAAAUUCCUUGUCGGGUAAGUUCCGACCUGCACGAAUGGCGUAAUGAUGGCCAGGCUGUCUCCACCCGAGACUCAGUGAAAUUGAACUCGCUGUGAAGAUGCAGUGUACCCGCGGCAAGACGGAAAGACCCCGUGAACCUUUACUAUAGCUUGACACUGAACAUUGAGCCUUGAUGUGUAGGAUAGGUGGGAGGCUUUGAAGUGUGGACGCCAGUCUGCAUGGAGCCGACCUUGAAAUACCACCCUUUAAUGUUUGAUGUUCUAACGUUGACCCGUAAUCCGGGUUGCGGACAGUGUCUGGUGGGUAGUUUGACUGGGGCGGUCUCCUCCUAAAGAGUAACGGAGGAGCACGAAGGUUGGCUAAUCCUGGUCGGACAUCAGGAGGUUAGUGCAAUGGCAUAAGCCAGCUUGACUGCGAGCGUGACGGCGCGAGCAGGUGCGAAAGCAGGUCAUAGUGAUCCGGUGGUUCUGAAUGGAAGGGCCAUCGCUCAACGGAUAAAAGGUACUCCGGGGAUAACAGGCUGAUACCGCCCAAGAGUUCAUAUCGACGGCGGUGUUUGGCACCUCGAUGUCGGCUCAUCACAUCCUGGGGCUGAAGUAGGUCCCAAGGGUAUGGCUGUUCGCCAUUUAAAGUGGUACGCGAGCUGGGUUUAGAACGUCGUGAGACAGUUCGGUCCCUAUCUGCCGUGGGCGCUGGAGAACUGAGGGGGGCUGCUCCUAGUACGAGAGGACCGGAGUGGACGCAUCACUGGUGUUCGGGUUGUCAUGCCAAUGGCACUGCCCGGUAGCUAAAUGCGGAAGAGAUAAGUGCUGAAAGCAUCUAAGCACGAAACUUGCCCCGAGAUGAGUUCUCCCUGACUCCUUGAGAGUCCUGAAGGAACGUUGAAGACGACGACGUUGAUAGGCCGGGUGUGUAAGCGCAGCGAUGCGUUGAGCUAACCGGUACUAAUGAACCGUGAGGCUUAACCUU
This 2737-nucleotide ribosomal RNA is filed under the name Escherichia coli. RNAcentral describes it as "partial 23S ribosomal RNA". It matches the Rfam family "Bacterial large subunit ribosomal RNA". Lineage: Bacteria; Pseudomonadati; Pseudomonadota; Gammaproteobacteria; Enterobacterales; Enterobacteriaceae. The record is from RNAcentral.